GUAGGGGUAAUAAUAUGCUGAAGGCUAGCUGUAUUGGGUACAGAUGAUAAUAUGGGUAAUAAUAUGCUGAAGGCUAGCUGUAUUGGGUACAGAUGAUAAUAUGUAGGGGUAAUAAUAUGCUGAAGGCUAGCUGUAUUGGGUACAGAUGAUAAUAUGUAGGGGUAAUAAUAUGCUGAAGGCUAGCUGUAUUGGGUACAGAUGAUAAUAUGUAGGGGUAAUAAUAUGUUGAAGGCUAGCUGUAUUGGGUACAGAUGAUAAUAUGUAGGGGUAAUAAUAUGCUGAAGGCUAGCUGUAUUGGGUACAGAUGAUAAUAUGUAGGGGUAAUAAUAUGCUGAAGGCUAGCUGUAUUGGGUACAGAUGAUAAUAUGUAGACUAUAAUAAUAUGCUGAAGGCUAGCUGUAUUGGGUACAGAUGAUAAUAUGUAGGGGUAAUAAUAUGCUGAAGGCUAGCUGUAUUGGGU
This 460-nucleotide long non-coding RNA is filed under the name Salmo salar (Atlantic salmon). Its description in RNAcentral is "lncRNA (ENSSSAG00000114061.1)". The record is from RNAcentral. Lineage: Eukaryota; Metazoa; Chordata; Actinopteri; Salmoniformes; Salmonidae.